RNAcentral lists this transfer RNA (72 nucleotides) under Promethearchaeota archaeon. RNAcentral describes it as "Candidatus Lokiarchaeota archaeon (permafrost metagenome) tRNA-Ala". It matches the Rfam family "tRNA". From Rfam's summary of the family: Transfer RNA (tRNA) molecules are approximately 80 nucleotides in length. Their secondary structure includes four short double-helical elements and three loops (D, anti-codon, and T loops). Further hydrogen bonds mediate the characteristic L-shaped molecular structure. tRNAs have two regions of fundamental functional importance: the anti-codon, which is responsible for specific mRNA codon recognition, and the 3' end, to which the tRNAs corresponding amino acid is attached (by aminoacyl-tRNA synthetases). tRNAs cope with the degeneracy of the genetic code in two manners: having more than one tRNA (with a specific anti-codon) for a particular amino acid; and 'wobble' base-pairing, i.e. permitting non-standard base-pairing at the 3rd anti-codon position. RNAcentral also lists the same sequence under 3 other names. Lineage: Archaea; Promethearchaeati; Promethearchaeota. The record is from RNAcentral.
GGGGCUGUGGAUUAGUCGCAGAUCGUUCGCUUGGCAUGCGAAAGGCCGGGGGUUCAAUUCCCCCCAGCUCCA